Lates calcarifer (barramundi perch) is the source of this 2135-nucleotide long non-coding RNA. RefSeq lists it as uncharacterized. The transcript has 3 exons. NCBI's taxonomy places the organism in Eukaryota, Metazoa, Chordata, Actinopteri, Centropomidae. The record is from RefSeq and is a predicted model, not a curated record.
AUCUAUAACUUUUACUGACCUCUGUAUUACAACAGCAUCAACAAGUGUUUGGCACAGCCAAGUUCUGAAGUCAUAUUUUCACAAUCCUGGUGAGAAAGCUUGUGUGAAAUAUUGUACAGCAGAGACCCAUCAGGAAAUCAGAAAUAUCUUGUUCUUUCACACAUCUGCCCCACAGUAACAGCUCCACAGGAAGAGAAACCUGAAGAAAUCCUUUUUUUAAACUGUACAAUAUAGUCACAACAUUGCUGUUUCCUGAAGUGAUAAAAGGCCAAGCUAAGUGGAAACAUGUCUCAGAUGAUGAAAUGGACACCAACCUGGCAUGCCGUCCUCUUCACCCAUAAUCCAUCUUAAUCCGAGUAUCCUCAGGUCAAGCAUCAUUCCAGAUGAGCUGUCAGGAAGAGACAGCAGCUGUCUUCAGUGUAACAGUGCAGCAACAAGCAAGCACAGAAAGCAGUUUGGCUCUCAGGGUCCUCUCAUCAGAAAGAUUUCAUACCCAUCACCUUCCUGUGUCUACUGCACAGUGUCAACUUACCCUCAUUUCUAUGAUAAUUGAACACUGGUUGUGCCAAAUGCACUGGCGGAAAGAGCAACAGAGACAUUUAAUAUGGCUAUAGUGGGAUUUGAACAGGGCCUUUCUUGUGCCUUUCUUCCCCUCCUCUGAAUGACUGAGCCCCACAGGCAAUGUAAAUUUAUGAUAUUGUGAGUUUGGUGAGUGAAUCCUGGACCCUGUAUUGCUAUUGCUCAACUCAGUUUGGAACAUGAAACACACAGAGGCUGUGCAGAGAGGCCAAGGAAAAAAGGUCAACCCAAGGUUGGCAUUGAUCAUAAAUUGGUUCAGUGGGAGGUAACAACACAUGAUGUGAGUUACCUGACCUGCUGUUUUUAAUAAAGAGACCGGCCCUCAUUUACCCAGACUCAGUAGUACAAGGCAUGUGUAUUGUAUCAUAUUGGCUACUUUGAAAAUCAUAUUUCUGUGCAGAUGGUAAUAUUUUUGUCUCUUUUUUUUCUCUCUCUCUCUCUCCCUGUAAGUGGUGAACCGAUACCAAAAAAAAGGGAGGCUUUCUCAUUGACAGCUGCAAUAAACAACAUCUUUGCCAAGUUUUUGGUAUCGCUCUCCAAUCUACAGUAUUUAGAAAUGUUUUGCAAGAACUAGAAUGAUUGUGUAUUAUCUUUGUCUACUUGCCAAGUUUUGACCUCUUUAUCACACUUGGUCAUGAUCUGCUGGGAGAGAUAAUGGAAUUAUCCCUAUUUAAAAAAUGCAUCCUUGCCAGUCACAUCAUCACAUCGUUCAGCAAUUACAUAAAACACUGUUGAACCCACUCCUCUAGUAAAAUAAUUAAUUAAUGACAGAGAUGGAAAGUAACAAAGUACAUUUACUCAGGUUACUGUAUGCAAGUACAAUUUUAUAGUACCUUAGACACUUCUCUGGUUCAACCUGACUGGUGGGGAGUCUUAUUCAACAACUGCCACUUCAUGUGAGGCAGAAGCUUGCCCACCCUAAGAACACCCAGGCAUAAGUAGAGCUUUUUGCUUUUUGUUUUUGAAUCCUCCCAUUUACUGUAUAGGCAGCAGUAGCUGCUAGUAAGCAUGAUACUCUAACACCACAUAUGAUUUACUAGUGUCACUGUUGUCAUCAAUACACAUUUAAAACAAUAGGCUCAAAGGUUGAACAGUGGUGUAGAUCUGUCUCACAGAGAUCAUUGUAAAUGUAUCAGUUUCAUAUCUGUGUCCAGAACACAUAGCUCAAGGUUAGAACCAGGGGAACGAUCAUGUGACCAAGUUAAUUAGAGGCAAGGUAAUGAAGUGUUCUUGAAACCAGCCUCUCCCACUUGUCCCAUCAUUUGUAUCCUUAGAUCGGUUACUGAAUCUAAUUUGCAGCUUCUCAUCUGACUGUGGGUUUAAUAGAAAACAAACUGUGAUGUUUUUGAGAUUGUAAAUGAGGUCAUGUAGACUGAAUUUAUAUUACUAUACUACUGAAUUACUGAAGUGAAUCAUCCAGUGGAGUACAAAAAUGCAGAUACGGAGCAAUCAAUAAUAUUUCAAUAAACACGUAGCUCACAGUAUAUAUACAGAUUACCACUCUAUAACUACAGUAUAUAGAGUGGUAAUCUGAAGUAUGCAGUCUGUGACCUCAU